GACGAACGCUGGCGGCGUGCUUAACACAUGCAAGUCGAACGGAAAGGCCCUGCUUUUGUGGGGUGCUCGAGUGGCGAACGGGUGAGUAACACGUGAGUAACCUGCCCUUGACUUUGGGAUAACUUCAGGAAACUGGGGCUAAUACCGGAUAGGAGCUCCUGCUGCCUGGUGGGGGUUGGAAAGUUUCGGCGGUUGGGGAUGGACUCGCGGCUUAUCAGCUUGUUGGUGGGGUAGUGGCUUACCAAGGCUUUGACGGGUAGCCGGCCUGAGAGGGUGACCGGCCACAUUGGGACUGAGCUACGGCCCAGACUCCUACGGGAGGCAGCAGUGGGGAAUAUUGCACAAUGGGCGGAAGCCUGAUGCAGCAACGCCGCGUGCGGGAUGACGGCCUUCGGGUUGUGAACCGCUUUCGCCUGUGACGAAGCGUGAGUGACGGUAAUGGGUAAAGAAGCACCGGCUAACUACGUG
This 468-nucleotide ribosomal RNA is filed under the name uncultured bacterium. RNAcentral's name for it is "partial 16S ribosomal RNA". It matches the Rfam family "Bacterial small subunit ribosomal RNA", at positions 28 to 507 of the family's 1533-position model. The record is from RNAcentral.